AAUGGUUUUUUGUUUAAAUGUUUUUCGCCUAAGGAUGGGUCUGCGGCCGAUUAGGUAGUUGGUUAGGUAAUGGCUUACCAAGCCGUUGAUCGGUACGGGUUGUGAGAGCAAGAGCCCGGAGAUGGAACCUGAGACAAGGUUCCAGGCCCUACGGGGUGCAGCAGGCGCGAAACCUCCGCAAUGUGAGAAAUCGCGACGGGGGGAUCCCAAGUGCCAUUCUUAACGGGAUGGCUUUUCAUUAGUGUAAAGAGCUUUUGGAAUAAGGGCUGGGCAAGACCGGUGCCAGCCGCCGCGGUAACACCGGCAGCUCUAGUGGUAGCAGUUUUAUUGGGCCUAAAGCGUCCGUAGCCGGUUUAAUAAGUCUCUGGUGAAAUCCUGUAGCUUAACUGUGGGAAUUGCUGGAGAUACUAUUAGACUUGAGACCGGGAGAGGUUAGAGGUACUCCCAGGGUAGAGGUGAAAUUCUGUAAUCCUGGGAGGACCGCCUGUUGCGAAGGCGUCUAACUGGAACGGUUCUGACGGUGAGGGACGAAAGUUAGGGGCGCGAACCGGAUUAGAUACCCGGGUAGUCCUAACCGUAAACGAUGCGGACUUGGUGUUGGGGCGGCUUUGAGCUGCUCCAGUGCCGAAGGGAAGCUGUUAAGUCCGCCGCCUGGGAAGUACGGUCGCAAGACUGAAGCUUAA
This 683-nucleotide ribosomal RNA is filed under the name uncultured archaeon. Its description in RNAcentral is "bacterial SSU rRNA". It matches the Rfam family "Archaeal small subunit ribosomal RNA", at positions 174 to 859 of the family's 1478-position model. The record is from RNAcentral.